Molecule: ribosomal RNA, 468 nt
Filed under: uncultured bacterium
Lineage: Bacteria
Description: partial 16S ribosomal RNA
Rfam family: Bacterial small subunit ribosomal RNA
Source: RNAcentral
GACGAACGCUGGCGGCGUGCUUAACACAUGCAAGUCGAACGGAAAGGCCCUGCUUUUGUGGGGUGCUCGAGUGGCGAACGGGUGAGUAACUCGUGAGUAACCUGCCCUUGACUUUGGGAUAACUUCAGGAAACUGGGGCUAAUACCGGAUAGGAGCUCCUGCUGCAUGGUGGGGGUUGGAAAGUUUCGGCGGUUGGGGAUGGACUCGCGGCUUAUCAGCUUGUUGGUGGGGUAGUGGCUUACCAAGGCUUUGACGGGUAGCCGGCCUGAGAGGGUGACCGGCCACAUUGGGACUGAGAUACGGCCCAGACUCCUACGGGAGGCAGCAGUGGGGAAUAUUGCACAAUGGGCGGAAGCCUGAUGCAGCAACGCCGCGUGCGGGAUGACGGCCUUCGGGUUGUAAACCGCUUUCGCCUGUGACGAAGCGUGAGUGACGGUAAUGGGUAAAGAAGCACCGGCUAACUACGCG